AAAUUAAAAUAAACACAAAAAAAUAAAUUUUGAUCCUGUAUCGAGUAGGCAGUGAACCUAGCGGUAAUUUUAACUGCAGUAAUUUUUUUCAAUUAAUUUAUCUUAGACCGUCAAGUGAAAGUGAUUACACCGUAAUAAUCUACCUUAAAGUUAGGAUUAUAGUGUUUCAAUAAUUUUAAUGAUUUCAAAAGUACAGUAUUUUAUAUUUAAAAAUUUAAUGAGUUUUAAUAUCAUUAUAAUAUAACUGAUUUUGUCUAAUUAAAAUCAACUUUUGUUGAAUAGGUAAUUUAUAAAUUUGGCGAUCUAAACCUCUAGCAAGAACAUUUGGAUAGUCAGUCGACUACUACUAUAACGUAACGUGUAGCAAUUAUUACUGUCAACUGGAAUCAUACCUAUAUACUAAAUAUCAAUUGUUAAGACCGUAACGUUUAACCGAAAUAUAUUAAAAUUAAAGCAUAAAAUAAAUUUUGUGUCUCCUAAGAAUAUCUUAUUAUUCGCGUAUCUAUUUCGGAUUUAUUGCAAAUAUGCUAUUAAAAUUUAUCGUUUCGUGUGUUAUUAUUUAUUCUUUU
Cinara cedri is the source of this 569-nucleotide non-coding RNA. The record is from the annotation of a GenBank genome assembly. NCBI's taxonomy places the organism in Eukaryota, Metazoa, Arthropoda, Insecta, Hemiptera, Aphididae.